UAGACAGUUAUGUCUUAAGGGUCA
Molecule: non-coding RNA, 24 nt
Filed under: Arabidopsis thaliana (thale cress)
Lineage: Eukaryota; Viridiplantae; Streptophyta; Magnoliopsida; Brassicales; Brassicaceae
Source: RNAcentral